RNAcentral lists this RNase P RNA (445 nucleotides) under Vibrio xuii. Its description in RNAcentral is "bacterial RNase P". It matches the Rfam family "Bacterial RNase P class A". From Rfam's summary of the family: Ribonuclease P (RNase P) is a ubiquitous endoribonuclease, found in archaea, bacteria and eukarya as well as chloroplasts and mitochondria. Its best characterised activity is the generation of mature 5'-ends of tRNAs by cleaving the 5'-leader elements of precursor-tRNAs. The record is from RNAcentral. Lineage: Bacteria; Pseudomonadati; Pseudomonadota; Gammaproteobacteria; Vibrionales; Vibrionaceae.
GGAGCUGACUGGGUAGUCGCUGCUUUGUUGAUGUCCUUCGGGAGACUGACGUUGAGGUCCUUUUAGGAGACUGACGUUGACGUCCUUCGGGAGACUGACAAGGGGGAGGAAAGUCCGGGCUUCAUAGAGCAAGGUGCCAGGUAACGCCUGGGGGGCGCAAGCCCACGACAAGUGCAGCAGAGAGAAGACCGCCGAUGGCCUAUCUUUUCGCAAGAGAAGGGGCACAGGUAAGGGUGAAAGGGUGCGGUAAGAGCGCACCGGACGACUAGUAAUAGUUCGUAGCAGGGUAAACUCCACCUGAAGCAAGACCAAAUAGGCCUCCACAUUGCGUUGCUCGCGUAAGGAGGCGGGUAGGUUGCUCGAGCCAGUGAGUGAUUGCUGGCCUAGACGAAUGGCUACCGCCGCGCAAGCGGAACAGAACCCGGCUUAUGUGUCGGCUCCACCU